GUGGAGGCUAUAUACAGGGUAUUACGGUACAGAGUCAAUGUGGAGGCUAUAUACAGGGGGUACCGGUACAGAGUCAAUGUGGAGGCUAUAUACAGGGUAUUACGGUACAGAGUCAAUGUGGAGGCUAUAUACAGGGGGUACCGGUACAGAGUCAAUGUGGAGGCUAUAUACAGGGGGUACCGGUACAGAGUCAAUGUGGAGGCUAUAUACAGGGGAUACCGGUACAGAGUCAAUGUGGAGGCUAUAUACAGGGUGUUACGGUACAGAGUCAAUGUGGAGGCUAUAUACAGGGGGUACCGGUACAGAGUCAAUGUGGAGGCUAUAUACAGGGGGUACCGGUACAGAGUCAAUGUGGAGGCUAUAUACAGGGGGUACCGGUACAGAGUCAAUGUGGAGGCUAUAUACAGGGGAUACCGGUACAGAGUCAAUGUGGAGGCUAUAUACAGGGGGUACCAGUACAGAGUCAAUGUGGAGGCUAUAUACAGGGGGUACCGGUACAGAGUCAAUGUUGAGGCUAUAUACAGGGGAUACCGGUACAGAGUCAAUGUGGAGGCUAUAUACAGGGGGUACUGGUACAGAGUCAAUGUGGAGGCUAUAUACAGGGGGUACCGGUACAGAGUCAAUGUGGAGGCUAUAUACAGGGAUACCGGUACAGAGUCAAUGUGGAGGCUAUAUACAGGGUGUUACGGUACAGAGUCAAUGUGGAGGCUAUAUACAGGGGGGUACUGGUACAGAGUCAAUGUGGAGGCUAUAUACAGGGGGUACCGGUACAGAGUCAAUGUGGAGGCUAUAUACAGGGGGUACCGGUGUCAAGGUAAUUGAGGUAAUAUGUAUAUGUGGGUAGAGUUAUUAAAGUGACAAUGCAUAGAUAAUAACAGGGAGUAGCAGGAGUAUGGGGG
Oncorhynchus tshawytscha (Chinook salmon) is the source of this 899-nucleotide long non-coding RNA. Lineage: Eukaryota; Metazoa; Chordata; Actinopteri; Salmoniformes; Salmonidae. The record is from Ensembl.